UGGGGAAUUUUGGACAAUGGGGGAAACCCUGAUCCAGCCAUCCCGCGUGUGCGAUGAAGGCCUUCGGGUUGUAAAGCACUUUUGGCAGGAAAGAAACGUCGCGGGUUAAUACCCCGCGAAACUGACGGUACCUGCAGAAUAAGCACCGGCUAACUACGUGCCAGCAGCCGCGGUAAUACGUAGGGUGCAAGCGUUAAUCGGAAUUACUGGGCGUAAAGCGUGCGCAGGCGGUUCGGGAAGAAAGAUGUGAAAUCCCAGAGCUUAACUUUGGAACUGCAUUUUUAACUACCGGGCUAGAGUGUGUCAGAGGGAGGUGGAAUUCCGCGUGUAGCAGUGAAAUGCGUAGAUAUGCGGAGGAACACCGAUGGCGAAGGCAGCCUCCUGGGAUAACACUGACGCUCAUGCACGAAAGCGUGGGGAGCAAACAGGAUUAGAUACCCUGGUAGUCCACGCCCUAAACGAUGUCAACUAGCUGUUGGGGCCUUCGGGCCUUGGUAGCGCAGCUAACGCGUGAAGUUGACCGCCUGGGGAGUACGGUCGCAAGAUUAAAACUUAAAUGAAUUGACGGGGGUCAUAGCUG
RNAcentral lists this ribosomal RNA (580 nucleotides) under uncultured bacterium. Its description in RNAcentral is "partial 16S ribosomal RNA". It matches the Rfam family "Bacterial small subunit ribosomal RNA", at positions 355 to 928 of the family's 1533-position model. The record is from RNAcentral.